This 71-nucleotide transfer RNA is filed under the name Loxodonta africana (African savanna elephant). It matches the Rfam family "tRNA". Rfam says of the family: Transfer RNA (tRNA) molecules are approximately 80 nucleotides in length. The record is from Rfam by way of RNAcentral. Lineage: Eukaryota; Metazoa; Chordata; Mammalia; Proboscidea; Elephantidae.
GCAGUGGUGACUCAGUGGCAGAGUUCUCGUCUUCCACGCAAGAGACCUGCGUUUGAUUCCUGGCCGUUGCA